UUCUGCAGUGUUGCCAAAACCUUCCCUCAAAGCUUUAAGAGGCAGCCAAAGGAACGACCUCCUGCACGUCUCGGAAGGAGCCCCCAUGUCCAGUGAAAAGAGAUGGGUCACGUCGAUUUAUUUUAUCAGAACAUCCGUGGCUAACGUACAAAAAUUGAACGCUUUUGUACGGACGUGGAGUCCGGCGCCGCAAUUGGCGGCAACAUCCCGCAGAGCCCUCGAGCUCCGAAUCACUACAGCUGCCGACUCCAGUCCCUGGCACAUGGACGACGGCGACACAGCGACACAGGACCAACUUUGGAGCCGCUGGUGCAUUGGCGGCAAAGUGAUAGCCUCCUCCUUGGCUACACCACUGGAUGCAAGGGAGGUGGCACGUGCACCUACCAUAAUGACGAGAUGUUUCAGUGACAUACUCUUAAGUUGCGAUCACACUGCUAAUCCCGAUUGGUCAAGAGACGGUCUUCAGGGACACUGUCUGAGGCUUUUCCUUCCAUGAUGGUCAUAUUGGUCACUCAAGAACUGACUGCAGACAUGUUCGAAGCCCACACAUUUAUCGAACGAACAUCCUUCGAAGAUGCUCGAGACGUUUCCGCAGGUACUUCCGUAGUGAACAUUGCGCUUUUGUAGGAUGCACGAGCAGGUCGACUUUGCGAUUCCAACCCGUAAAGUCAAUGCUGUUUAUUCCUUCGUAACGUUUGAUUGUAAUUAUUGUUAUUUGUUCGUACCAUCCUGAUGAGGUUCCCGGUUUCAGGCUUGGAGGUGAUCGAAUGUCACAGAAUGUGGAAGGCCAUCCGCAACCGCUAUGUUAAGAGACGAGAGCGGCGAAAGGCAAGAGUAAAGCUGGCGAGGAGGAUGUCCAGCCUCCCACGUGGGUUCUUUUCAAGUUCCUGGGGUUCCCCGAUGGUCAAAUCUGUGCAGAUGGUAGGCACAGAAUGUUUUGGACAACAAAGGGCACUGCAGAUUGUGCCGUAUUUUGUAUGCAUUGUAACGAUGACGUGGCAGAACCCUGGUUUGUCCCAAGACAAAAGGAGCCUCACACAACACCAUGUCUACAAACUGGAGUGAAGGAGCCCCCACUUCCGUGCCAGGAGAGAUCCUUGCGGAAAUGUAUUGCCCUGGAGAGACCGCAACCCCCGCAGAAAAUAGACAGCCUGGGAUGCCUGCUGAUGCCGAGAUGGAAGACAUACUGUAGCAUGAAGACAUACAUUUUAUUUAACAACUGCCUUCGAUAAGCAUGUUUGCAAGUGGCUCCUGUGUAAUUACCCUUUUCUCACUCUCCUCUUUCAUUUAAGCGAUUGGCUAUUCUUGGAGGCAGGUCCAAA
Long non-coding RNA from Ixodes scapularis (black-legged tick), 1322 nucleotides. RefSeq lists it as uncharacterized. The transcript is spliced from 2 exons. The record is from RefSeq and is a predicted model, not a curated record. NCBI's taxonomy places the organism in Eukaryota, Metazoa, Arthropoda, Arachnida, Ixodida, Ixodidae.